GAUGAACGCUGGCGGCGUGCCUAAUACAUGCAAGUCGAGCGAACGGACGAGAAGCUUGCUUCUCUGAUGUUAGCGGCGGACGGGUGAGUAACACGUGGAUAACCUACCUAUAAGACUGGGAUAACUUCGGGAUACCGGAGCUAAUACCGGAUGAUAUUUUGAACCGCAUGGUUCAAAAGUGAAAGACGGUCUUGCUGUCACUUAUAGAUGGAUCCGCGCUGCAUUAGCUAGUUGGUAAGGUAACGGCUUACCAAGGCAACGAUGCAUAGCCGACCUGAGAGGGUGAUCGGCCACACUGGAACUGAGACACGGUCCAGACUCCUACGGGAGGCAGCAGUAGGGAAUCUUCCGCAAUGGGCGAAAGCCUGACGGAGCAACGCCGCGUGAGUGAUGAAGGUCUUCGGAUCGUAAAACUCUGUUAUUAGGGAAGAACAUAUGUGUAAGUAACUGUGCACAUCUUGACGGUACCUAAUCAGAAAGCCACGGCUAACUACGUG
Molecule: ribosomal RNA, 497 nt
Filed under: uncultured bacterium
Lineage: Bacteria
Description: partial 16S ribosomal RNA
Rfam family: Bacterial small subunit ribosomal RNA
Source: RNAcentral